UUUAGCUACUGAAAACAACUCAGAAAGGCCUUGUCCUCCCAAAUAGGUCUCGGCAACAAGACAGGGCGUCCUCUAGGCAGCUGUGUCCCAGUGCCUUCUACACUAAGGGCACCUCCCAGGUAAAUUAACUUCACCCCUUCCAAGGACCUCCACAUUGCAAAUCUGAAAGUCUCACGUGUCACGUUGACCUCACAGUUGAUGAAGACCAGACAAUGGAGAAAUAUGCAAGAAACUGGAGAGUCAAAAGGGACAGCAGCAAGUCCAACGGUUGGUGGCAACGUAAAGAAGAAAGAGUUUAUUUUGGCUUAUGGUUACACAGUGCUAAGAGUCCAUCACCAUCACAGCAGGGAGGCACGGCAACCAACAAGCUACUGGAACAGCAGCUAGAAUACUUCAGAAGCUGAGAGCUCACUUCUUCAACCACAAACACAAAGCAGAGAAACCGGAAAUGGCGGAAAUGGCGACCUUUCACCGGCUUGGAAAACAGAAUCUAGAAGAGGCUGGCUUGCUGCUGAUCUGACAGGAGCCUAGCAGGACUGUCCUCUGAGAGGUUCCACCCAGCAGCCGACUGAAACGGAUACCGAGACCCACAGCUAAACAUUAGACAGAGCCUGGGAACUCUUAUGGGAGAGUUGGGAGAAGGGUUGAGGGCUCGGAAGGGGAUGGGAACUUCAUGGGAAGAUCAGCAGAGUCAACUAAUCUGGACCCUUGGGGGCUCUCAGAAACUGAGCCACCAACCAAAGAGUACAGACUGGACCGAGACCCCCGGCACAUACUUAGUCUCCAUGUGGGUCCUCCAACAACUGGAGCAGGGGCUGUCCCUAAAGCUAUUACCUGCCAUUCUCCAACUGGGUUGGCUUAUCUGGGGUGGCAGUGGGAAAAGGUGUACCUAACACUGCAGAGACUUGGUGUACCAGGGAGGGCCCUCACCCGCUUAGAGGAGAAGGAGAUGGGGA
Molecule: non-coding RNA, 956 nt
Organism: Rattus norvegicus (Norway rat)
Lineage: Eukaryota; Metazoa; Chordata; Mammalia; Rodentia; Muridae
Source: RefSeq, a predicted model, not a curated record